UUAAGCGACUAAGCGUACACGGUGGAUGCCCUGGCAGUCAGAGGCGAUGAAGGACGUGCUAAUCUGCGAUAAGCGUCGGUAAGGUGAUAUGAACCGUUAUAACCGGCGAUUUCCGAAUGGGGAAACCCAGUGUGAUUCGUCACACUAUCAUUAACUGAAUCCAUAGGUUAAUGAGGCGAACCGGGGGAACUGAAACAUCUAAGUACCCCGAGGAAAAGAAAUCAACCGAGAUUCCCCCAGUAGCGGCGAGCGAACGGGGAGCAGCCCAGAGCCUGAAUCAGUGUGUGUGUUAGUGGAAGCGUCUGGAAAGGCGCGCGAUACAGGGUGACAGCCCCGUACACAAAAAUGCACAUGCUGUGAGCUCGAUGAGUAGGGCGGGACACGUGGUAUCCUGUCUGAAUAUGGGGGGACCAUCCUCCAAGGCUAAAUACUCCUGACUGACCGAUAGUGAACCAGUACCGUGAGGGAAAGGCGAAAAGAACCCCGGCGAGGGGAGUGAAAAAGAACCUGAAACCGUGUACGUACAAGCAGUGGGAGCACGCUUAGGCGUGUGACUGCGUACCUUUUGUAUAAUGGGUCAGCGACUUAUAUUCUGUAGCAAGGUUAACCGAAUAGGGGAGCCGAAGGGAAACCGAGUCUUAACUGGGCGUUAAGUUGCAGGGUAUAGACCCGAAACCCGGUGAUCUAGCCAUGGGCAGGUUGAAGGUUGGGUAACACUAACUGGAGGACCGAACCGACUAAUGUUGAAAAAUUAGCGGAUGACUUGUGGCUGGGGGUGAAAGGCCAAUCAAACCGGGAGAUAGCUGGUUCUCCCCGAAAGCUAUUUAGGUAGCGCCUCGUGAAUUCAUCUCCGGGGGUAGAGCACUGUUUCGGCAAGGGGGUCAUCCCGACUUACCAACCCGAUGCAAACUACGAAUACCGGAGAAUGUUAUCACGGGAGACACACGGCGGGUGCUAACGUCCGUCGUGAAGAGGGAAACAACCCAGACCGCCAGCUAAGGUCCCAAAGUCAUGGUUAAGUGGGAAACGAUGUGGGAAGGCCCAGACAGCCAGGAUGUUGGCUUAGAAGCAGCCAUCAUUUAAAGAAAGCGUAAUAGCUCACUGGUCGAGUCGGCCUGCGCGGAAGAUGUAACGGGGCUAAACCAUGCACCGAAGCUGCGGCAGCGACGCUGAUGCGUUGUUGGGUAGGGGAGCGUUCUGUAAGCCUGCGAAGGUGUGCUGUGAGGCAUGCUGGAGGUAUCAGAAGUGCGAAUGCUGACAUAAGUAACGAUAAAGCGGGUGAAAAGCCCGCUCGCCGGAAGACCAAGGGUUCCUGUCCAACGUUAAUCGGGGCAGGGUGAGUCGACCCCUAAGGCGAGGCCGAAAGGCGUAGUCGAUGGGAAACAGGUUAAUAUUCCUGUACUUGGUGUUACUGCGAAGGGGGGACGGAGAAGGCUAUGUUGGCCGGGCGACGGUUGUCCCGGUUUAAGCGUGUAGGCUGGUUUUCCAGGCAAAUCCGGAAAAUCAAGGCUGAGGCGUGAUGACGAGGCACUACGGUGCUGAAGCAACAAAUGCCCUGCUUCCAGGAAAAGCCUCUAAGCAUCAGGUAACAUCAAAUCGUACCCCAAACCGACACAGGUGGUCAGGUAGAGAAUACCAAGGCGCUUGAGAGAACUCGGGUGAAGGAACUAGGCAAAAUGGUGCCGUAACUUCGGGAGAAGGCACGCUGAUAUGUAGGUGAAGCGACUUGCUCGUGGAGCUGAAAUCAGUCGAAGAUACCAGCUGGCUGCAACUGUUUAUUAAAAACACAGCACUGUGCAAACACGAAAGUGGACGUAUACGGUGUGACGCCUGCCCGGUGCCGGAAGGUUAAUUGAUGGGGUCAGCGCAAGCGAAGCUCUUGAUCGAAGCCCCGGUAAACGGCGGCCGUAACUAUAACGGUCCUAAGGUAGCGAAAUUCCUUGUCGGGUAAGUUCCGACCUGCACGAAUGGCGUAAUGAUGGCCAGGCUGUCUCCACCCGAGACUCAGUGAAAUUGAACUCGCUGUGAAGAUGCAGUGUACCCGCGGCAAGACGGAAAGACCCCGUGAACCUUUACUAUAGCUUGACACUGAACAUUGAGCCUUGAUGUGUAGGAUAGGUGGGAGGCUUUGAAGUGUGGACGCCAGUCUGCAUGGAGCCGACCUUGAAAUACCACCCUUUAAUGUUUGAUGUUCUAACGUGGACCCGUAAUCCGGGUUGCGGACAGUGUCUGGUGGGUAGUUUGACUGGGGCGGUCUCCUCCUAAAGAGUAACGGAGGAGCACGAAGGUUGGCUAAUCCUGGUCGGACAUCAGGAGGUUAGUGCAAUGGCAUAAGCCAGCUUGACUGCGAGCGUGACGGCGCGAGCAGGUGCGAAAGCAGGUCAUAGUGAUCCGGUGGUUCUGAAUGGAAGGGCCAUCGCUCAACGGAUAAAAGGUACUCCGGGGAUAACAGGCUGAUACCGCCCAAGAGUUCAUAUCGACGGCGGUGUUUGGCACCUCGAUGUCGGCUCAUCACAUCCUGGGGCUGAAGUAGGUCCCAAGGGUAUGGCUGUUCGCCAUUUAAAGUGGUACGCGAGCUGGGUUUAGAACGUCGUGAGACAGUUCGGUCCCUAUCUGCCGUGGGCGCUGGAGAACUGAGGGGGGCUGCUCCUAGUACGAGAGGACCGGAGUGGACGCAUCACUGGUGUUCGGGUUGUCAUGCCAAUGGCACUGCCCGGUAGCUAAAUGCGGAAGAGAUAAGUGCUGAAAGCAUCUAAGCACGAAACUUGCCCCGAGAUGAGUUCUCCCUGACUCCUUGAGAGUCCUGAAGGAACGUUGAAGACGACGACGUUGAUAGGCCGGGUGUGUAAGCGCAGCGAUGCGUUGAGCUAACCGGUACUAAUGAACCGUGAGGCUUAACCUU
This 2902-nucleotide ribosomal RNA is filed under the name Escherichia coli. Its description in RNAcentral is "bacterial LSU rRNA". It matches the Rfam family "Bacterial large subunit ribosomal RNA". Lineage: Bacteria; Pseudomonadati; Pseudomonadota; Gammaproteobacteria; Enterobacterales; Enterobacteriaceae. The record is from RNAcentral.